Molecule: ribosomal RNA, 466 nt
Filed under: uncultured bacterium
Lineage: Bacteria
Description: bacterial SSU rRNA
Rfam family: Bacterial small subunit ribosomal RNA
Source: RNAcentral
GAUGAACGCUAGCGGGAGGCUUAACACAUGCAAGUCGAGGGGCAGCAUAGGGUAGCAAUACUCUGAUGGCGACCGGCAAACGGGUGAGUAACGCGUAUGCAACCUACCCUGUACAGGGGGAUAACCCGGAGAAAUUCGGACUAAUAUCCCGUAAUAAUAUCCGGAGGCAUCUUUGGAUAUUUAAAGUUUCGACGGUACGGGAUGGGCAUGCGUAACAUUAGCUGGUUGGUAAGGUAACGGCUUACCAAGGCUAUGAUGUUUAGGGGUCCUGAGAGGGUGGUCCCCCAACUGGUACUGAGACACGGACCAGACUCCUACGGGAGGCAGCAGUGAGGAAUAUUGGACAAUGGGCGAAAGCCUGAUCCAGCAAUGCCGCGUGAGUGAUGGAAGGCCUUAGGGUUGUAAAGCUCUUUUACCAGGGAUGAUAAUGACAGUACCUGGAGAAUAAGCUCCGGCUAACUCCGUG